UCCCUGUUAGCUCAGUCGGUAGAGCGUUCGGCUUUUAAGAAUUCUUUAAGAAGUCGACCGAAAUGUCCAGGGUUCGAGCCCCUGAUAGGGAG
Pichia kudriavzevii is the source of this 92-nucleotide non-coding RNA. NCBI's taxonomy places the organism in Eukaryota, Fungi, Ascomycota, Pichiomycetes, Pichiales, Pichiaceae. The record is from Rfam.